Molecule: small nuclear RNA, 107 nt
Organism: Theropithecus gelada (gelada)
Lineage: Eukaryota; Metazoa; Chordata; Mammalia; Primates; Cercopithecidae
Source: Ensembl
GUACUCGCUUUGGCAGCACAUAUAUUAACAUUGGAAAGAUACAGAGCAGAUCAGCAUGGCCCCUGCACAAGGGUGACAUACAAAUUCAUGAAGCAUUCCAUAUUUUU